AUUGAACGCUGGCGGCAUGCCUUACACAUGCAAGUCGAACGGCAGCACGGGUGCUUGCACCUGGUGGCGAGUGGCGAACGGGUGAGUAAUACAUCGGAACAUGUCCUGUAGUGGGGGAUAGCCCGGCGAAAGCCGGAUUAAUACCGCAUACGAUCUACGGAUGACAGCGGGGGACCUUCGGGCCUCGCGCUUUAGGGUUGGCCUAUGGCUGAUUCGCUUGUUGGUGGGGUAAAGGCCUACCAAGGCGACGAUCAGUAGCUGGUCUGAGAGGACGACCAGACACACUGGGACUGAGACACGGCACAGACUCCUACGGGAGGCAGCAGUGGGGAAUUUUGGACAAUGGGCGAAAGCCUGAUCCAGCAAUGCCGCGUGUGUGAAGAAGGCCUUCGGGUUGUAAAGCACUUUUGUCCGGAAAGAAAUCCUUGGCCCUAAUACGGUCGGGGGAUGACGGUACCGGAAGAAUAAGCACCGGCUAACUACGUG
This 486-nucleotide ribosomal RNA is filed under the name uncultured bacterium. RNAcentral describes it as "partial 16S ribosomal RNA". It matches the Rfam family "Bacterial small subunit ribosomal RNA", at positions 30 to 507 of the family's 1533-position model. The record is from RNAcentral.